This 105-nucleotide small RNA is filed under the name Flavobacterium noncentrifugens. RNAcentral's name for it is "Flavo-1 RNA". It matches the Rfam family "Flavo-1 RNA". The record is from Rfam by way of RNAcentral. Lineage: Bacteria; Pseudomonadati; Bacteroidota; Flavobacteriia; Flavobacteriales; Flavobacteriaceae.
CCCUAGCCCUGAUUGAGGCGGCAUCCUUUUUUUGUUGCUCCAAAUGUAGUUUUUCAACUUUGAACUUCCAAACAAAAAAAGAUAUAGCCGAAAGCAGGAUUAGGC